RNAcentral lists this ribosomal RNA (1081 nucleotides) under Acinetobacter bereziniae. RNAcentral's name for it is "bacterial SSU rRNA". It matches the Rfam family "Bacterial small subunit ribosomal RNA", at positions 46 to 1126 of the family's 1533-position model. Lineage: Bacteria; Pseudomonadati; Pseudomonadota; Gammaproteobacteria; Moraxellales; Moraxellaceae. The record is from RNAcentral.
GCUUACCAUGCAAGUCGAGCGGGGGAGGUUGCUUCGGUAAUUGACCUAGCGGCGGACGGGUGAGUAAUACUUAGGAAUCUGCCUAUUAAUGGGGGACAACAUCUCGAAAGGGAUGCUAAUACCGCAUACGCCCUACGGGGGAAAGCAGGGGAUCACUUGUGACCUUGCGUUAAUAGAUGAGCCUAAGUCGGAUUAGCUAGUUGGUGGGGUAAAGGCCUACCAAGGCGACGAUCUGUAGCGGGUCUGAGAGGAUGAUCCGCCACACUGGGACUGAGACACGGCCCAGACUCCUACGGGAGGCAGCAGUGGGGAAUAUUGGACAAUGGGGGGAACCCUGAUCCAGCCAUGCCGCGUGUGUGAAGAAGGCCUUAUGGUUGUAAAGCACUUUAAGCGAGGAGGAGGCUCUUUUGGUUAAUACCCAAGAUGAGUGGACGUUACUCGCAGAAUAAGCACCGGCUAACUCUGUGCCAGCAGCCGCGGUAAUACAGAGGGUGCGAGCGUUAAUCGGAUUUACUGGGCGUAAAGCGUGCGUAGGCGGCUUUUUAAGUCGGAUGUGAAAUCCCCGAGCUUAACUUGGGAAUUGCAUUCGAUACUGGGAAGCUAGAGUAUGGGAGAGGAUGGUAGAAUUCCAGGUGUAGCGGUGAAAUGCGUAGAGAUCUGGAGGAAUACCGAUGGCGAAGGCAGCCAUCUGGCCUAAUACUGACGCUGAGGUACGAAAGCAUGGGGAGCAAACAGGAUUAGAUACCCUGGUAGUCCAUGCCGUAAACGAUGUCUACUAGCCGUUGGGGUCUUUGAGACUUUAGUGGCGCAGCUAACGCGAUAAGUAGACCGCCUGGGGAGUACGGUCGCAAGACUAAAACUCAAAUGAAUUGACGGGGGCCCGCACAAGCGGUGGAGCAUGUGGUUUAAUUCGAUGCAACGCGAAGAACCUUACCUGGUCUUGACAUAGUAAGAACUUUCCAGAGAUGGAUUGGUGCCUUCGGGAACUUACAUACAGGUGCUGCAUGGCUGUCGUCAGCUCGUGUCGUGAAAUGUUGGGUAAGUCCCGAACGAGCGCACCCUUUUCCUACUUGCAGCAUUU